UAAGCGGAGGAAAAGAAACUAACAAGGAUUCCCCUAGUAACUGCGAGUGAAGCGGGAAAAGCUCAAAUUUAAAAUCUGGUGGUCUUUGGCCAUCCGAGUUGUAAUUUAGAGAAGCGUCUUCCGCGCUGGACCGUGCACAAGUCUCCUGGAAUGGAGCGUCAUAGAGGGUGAGAAUCCCGUCUUUGGCACGGACACGCCAGGGCUUUUGUGAUGCGCUCUCGAAGAGUCGAGUUGUUUGGGAAUGCAGCUCAAAAUGGGUGGUGAACUCCAUCUAAAGCUAAAUAUUGGCGAGAGACCGAUAGCGAACAAGUACCGUGAGGGAAAGAUGAAAAGCACUUUGGAAAGAGAGUGAAACAGUACGUGAAAUUGUUGAAAGGGAAACGCUUGAAGUCAGUCGCGUCGACCGAGACUCAGCCUCGCCUUGGCUUGGUGUAAUUCUCGGCUGACGGGUCAGCAUCAAUUUUGCCUCUUGGAUAAUGGCGAGGGAAAUGUGACACCUUUACGGUGUGUUAUAGUCUCUCGUCGCAUGCAAGGGUUGGGAUUGAGGAACUCAGCACGCGCCUUCGGGUGUCGGGGUUACGCCCACGAUACGUGCUUAGGAUGUUGGUGUAAUGGCUUUAAACGACC
RNAcentral lists this ribosomal RNA (627 nucleotides) under uncultured Russulaceae. RNAcentral describes it as "LSU rRNA". It matches the Rfam family "Eukaryotic large subunit ribosomal RNA", at positions 47 to 649 of the family's 3401-position model. The record is from RNAcentral. Lineage: Eukaryota; Fungi; Basidiomycota; Agaricomycetes; Russulales; Russulaceae.